GUGGGAUGACGUCAAGUCCUCAUGGCCCUUAUGUCCAGGGCUACACACGUGCUACAAUGGGCGGUACAAAGGGUCGCAAACCCGUAAGGGGGAGCAAAUCCCAUCGAAAGCCGUCCUCAGUUCGGAUUGAGGUCUGCAACUCGACCUCAUGAAGCUGGAAUCGCUAGUAAUCGCGGAUCAGCAUGCCGCGGUCGAAUACGUUCCCGGGCCUU
RNAcentral lists this ribosomal RNA (212 nucleotides) under uncultured Syntrophorhabdus sp. RNAcentral's name for it is "partial 16S ribosomal RNA". It matches the Rfam family "Bacterial small subunit ribosomal RNA", at positions 1174 to 1382 of the family's 1533-position model. Lineage: Bacteria; Pseudomonadati; Thermodesulfobacteriota; Syntrophorhabdia; Syntrophorhabdales; Syntrophorhabdaceae. The record is from RNAcentral.